CAGAAAUGUAGAAUGACAGUCGCUCAAUCUGUUGCAAGCAAUGACUUUCAAACAGCAAGUGCUAAAGAAGCCAAACACGCAGAAUUACAAGUCCAACGCUGAAACUGCUGGAAAAGAACAGUGAAAAAGAUACAGGUCUUCAUUCUUGAUGGGAUUCAGAAACUGAACUACUGUGUCUUCACAGACAAAUAAUCCAAAAUCAGCCUAAGAGUGUGGAGUAAACAGCAUCAAGCCUCUCUUUAAUAGGGAACUCAUCUACAAAAACAAACACUUGUUAUACUUUUAUGAAUUAUCAAGUUGUACAACACACAGCAAUAAGGAUUUAGACAAACAAUCACAGAUUUUAUUAAUUUUAUUGUUGUGUCUAAUAUAUAUAGAAACAACUUGUGUUGUAAAAGAAAGGAUGACAGCAUAUCUCUUUAUCACGUGCCAGUAUAGGCCCUGACUGCACGUGAGAACAUUUGAAUUAUCUGGCACGAGGUCUCACACGUCAUACUUCAACUGACACAACGGUCUCGAUGGUAGGAAUAAGCAAAAGCUCCUUUAAAUUUCGUCAUUUUUUUUAUACACAUCCCGUUUAUUUUGUAGUUAAUUGUUAGAUAAGUUAGUAAUUUCGUAAAUUUUUCGUUACAGGGUAAGAUUUCGUUACCAUAUACAGUAAAUAUUGGUUCAAGAGGGCAGUUUGAUAACUCAGUCGAGGUUUGUAACUGGUAAAUAACUUAUUCGAGGGGUUUCUGUUCCUGCAGUCUUUCAGGGGUGCUGGCGCGUAUGACGAUGCGGACAUGAACAGAAUACUACAGUAUACCGCCACCUACUGUACUGUAGUACAAUAACGUCUUUUAAACAUCUAAACAUGUCCUCCAAAAAGGUUUCCUGUGCUGUUUUGCUCCAUUUUACUGAACAAAAUAAGGCUGAGGUAGCACCAUCCUUGUGGUUAGAGUGAAAGGAUGUGGGUAUUGAGACCAAAAUAAACAAUGUGCCAUUCUGGACAAACAGCUGUGGACAAUAUGCAGUCAGAGUAGCCCAUUUUCUCACACAGACCUGAGGAUAAGAUUUCCAGUUUGAAAGUGAAGAAAAUGAAUCAUUAUUAACAGCAAAUAGGAGUAUUUCUCAGCUGAAAAGCCAGGUGAAACUAUAAGGUCACUAUGAUUCACUUUCAUAUUAUCAUUCUUUUCAGAUUUUUUUCCCUGUGUUUUUUUUGUUAGAUGAGGAGCAACCAGUAAGAAAAAGCAAAAAGAUGUUUUGAUGUUGCCUGAGGCACCUUAUUUUCCAUUUCAUGCACAAUCACAAAUGCAGCACAUCAAUCAAUUUCUUCCAACCAGCGAAUCAAGAAAUCUUGGAGUGGAGAAUCAUUCUGAAAGUAGACCAAAUCCAGGACAACAUCACAACAGUGGUCGGAAAAAUGCAGCAAGCCAAGCUGACUUUCAAAAGAUGAUUCGUUAUCUGUUUCUUCAGAGGGGAGGCAGUUUGGGAGAUGGGAAUUAGGAGGAUGCUACAGUUACACAGGGCGAAUUUCAGCAGCUCAGUUUCAAACUUGCAACUAACAUUGAGUUAAAGGUGGAAGACCAGCUGACGUACCAGUUUUGCCAGGUUAAAGGACCAGCUUAAACCAGCUAAGACAGCCAACCAACUUAGCCAAGGUGGUAUAUGCUGGUGGGUCAGCUGGUCUUCCCGCCUGACCAGCUAAGACCAGCUACAAAGUGGCCAAAACCUCUGUAAAACAAUCCUGCUACACCAGCCUGACCAGCUGAAACCAUACUGGGAGUAUUCAUAUUCAUAUCGAUUUGCAUUUACACAUAAAAUAGGUAACAUACAGUACUGUGCAAAGUCUAGGCCACCAUCACCAGCUUUGUUGUUUUAGCUAAAUUUAAAUGUCCAUCCAUAUUUAUUUUUUACUCUUUUUAUUAAGAUACAAACAGAAAAUACAGGAAAUAUGUACACAAAAUUAAAAACAUCAGUCAGUAUUUAGUGUGACUUCUCUUGGCACGAAACACAUCUUGAGCUUUUUUGAGGAGACUGAAGUCAUUCGAUUAGAAUUAGAAAGGAUUAAAUUUUAUUUAUGUGUAAGAGAUCCUGCAGUUGCCUGCUAUUGCUCAAGUUGAAGGUGAGUUUACCCUAAAUACUUUAAACUUCAGCUUAAACUUUUAUACUGUUUUUAAAUACUACAUACACAUUUCCUGUAUUUUCUGGUUGUAUUCUAAUAAAGAGACUGAGAAAUAAACAUAUGAUCACUACACAAUUGCAAAAACAACAAAUCUAAUGGUAGCAUGCAGACUUUUGCACAGAACUGUAUGUCCACAUUUAGCCACCUUUACUUUGAGUGAACUGUAACAGCAACUAUAAUGCCAUAAACAUUCAAUACUAAGGUAAAAGAGAGUUGUGAAUGCUUUCUAGUUUUAGCACAGAAUUCUGUCUCCCUUUUAAAUGUUUGCUACAGAUUUUUUGCAAGACAUUUUUGUCCAACCUAAAAACAACUUGUACUGACAUAUAUUAAAAUACAUCAGUGCCCUUUGUUUUUUUUUUUUUACAUCAGAUUGCAUACAAGUAAUGUUUUAGUAAGGCAUGUUUGUUAAAACUGGUUAUAUUUCAUAAUUAAACUGAGGCAUAGUCCUGGUUUAAGCUCCUUGUCUGGGAAACCACCCCAAUAAAUACUUAACUUUUGAAUGUGUUCGUUUCGUUGUUUUAGGUUAGAAGACCACGGAAAUAUUUGACAUCGGAGUCCAGCAGACAGCCAGAGACACCCACACACACGCAGCUGAAGCGCGUUUGACUGACGCGUACGGGAGAUCCGGCACGCGCACGGGAGCUCGCGCACGCUCACACAAACACGGAGCACAGGAUAAUUAGAACU
This is a non-coding RNA of Paramisgurnus dabryanus, 2851 nucleotides long. NCBI's taxonomy places the organism in Eukaryota, Metazoa, Chordata, Actinopteri, Cypriniformes, Cobitidae. The record is from RefSeq and is a predicted model, not a curated record.